GAUGAACGCUGACAGAAUGCUUAACACAUGCAAGUCUUUGGCGAAGCUGUGCUCGCACAGCCUAGCCAAGGCGGACGGGUGAGUAACGCGUAAGGAACUUGCCCUGCAGUCAGGGAUAACAGACGGAAACGACUGAUAAGACCUGGUAAAGUCAGGCGGACUCAUGUCCAGCCUGAUGAAAAGAGAUGCUGCAGGAGAGCCUUGCGUCCUAUUAGCUUGUUGGUGGGGUAACGGCCCACCAAGGCGAUGAUAGGUAGCCGGCCUGAGAGGGUGGACGGCCACAAGGGGACUGAGAUACGGCCCUUACUCCUACGGGAGGCAGCAGUGGGGAAUAUUGGACAAUGGGGGCAACCCUGAUCCAGCAAUUCUGUGUGGACGAUGAAGGUUUUCGGAUUGUAAAGUGCUUUCAGCAGGGAAGAAAAAAAUGACGGUACCUGCAGAAGAAGCGACGGCUAAAUACGUG
This 463-nucleotide ribosomal RNA is filed under the name uncultured bacterium. Its description in RNAcentral is "partial 16S ribosomal RNA". It matches the Rfam family "Bacterial small subunit ribosomal RNA", at positions 28 to 507 of the family's 1533-position model. The record is from RNAcentral.